GACGAACGCUGGCGGCGUGCUUAACACAUGCAAGUCGAACGGUGACCCAGGGCUUGCCCUGGUGAUCAGUGGCGAACGGUGAGUAACACGUGGGCAACCUGCCCCUGACUUCGGGAUAACUCCUCGAAAGAGGAGCUAAUACCGGAUACGACCACUUCGGACAUCCGAUGGUGGUGGAAAGUUUUUCGGUCAGGGAUGGGCCCGCGGCCUAUCAGCUAGUUGGUGGGGUAAUGGCCUACCAAGGCGACGACGGGUAGCCGGCCUGAGAGGGCGACCGGCCACACUGGGACUGAGACACGGCCCAGACUCCUACGGGAGGCAGCAGUGGGGAAUAUUGCGCAAUGGGCGAAAGCCUGACGCAGCGACGCCGCGUGAGGGAUGAAGGCCUCGGGUUGGUAAACCUCUUUCAGCAGGACGAAGCGAAAGUGACGGUACCUGCAGAAGAAGCACCGGCUAACUACGUGCCAGCAGCCGCGGUAAU
RNAcentral lists this ribosomal RNA (481 nucleotides) under uncultured bacterium. RNAcentral describes it as "bacterial SSU rRNA". It matches the Rfam family "Bacterial small subunit ribosomal RNA", at positions 28 to 524 of the family's 1533-position model. The record is from RNAcentral.